CUCCUAGCUAGUAGUCUACUAGCUUUGUUCCCUUGCGUUUAUUGAUUCAUUUUUAACCUCUGGAGCAUGUAUCCUGUUUGUUCUAUUGCUUUUUGGUGUAGCUUGUUUGUAAUAUUGGCGAUUUGCGAUUUUAGCUCAAUAGAAGGGGAGAUUUGGUUUUGUGUGUUUAAUUGGUACAAUUCUUUCUUCCAUUGCGUGGUCUGGGCCGAGGAUUUUCUGUGUAAG
Pelobates cultripes (western spadefoot toad) is the source of this 225-nucleotide non-coding RNA. Lineage: Eukaryota; Metazoa; Chordata; Amphibia; Anura; Pelobatidae. The record is from the annotation of a GenBank genome assembly.